RNAcentral lists this ribosomal RNA (534 nucleotides) under Candidatus Arsenophonus arthropodicus. Its description in RNAcentral is "bacterial LSU rRNA". It matches the Rfam family "Bacterial large subunit ribosomal RNA", at positions 175 to 750 of the family's 2925-position model. The record is from RNAcentral. Lineage: Bacteria; Pseudomonadati; Pseudomonadota; Gammaproteobacteria; Enterobacterales; Morganellaceae.
CGAGGCGAACCGGGGGAACUGAAACAUCUCAGUACCCCGAGGAAAAGAAAUCAACCGAGAUUCCCCCAGUAGCGGCGAGCGAACAGGGAGCAGCCCAGAGUCAACAUCAAUAUUUACCGCAGGAGAAAGAUCUGGAAAGGCCGGCAAUAAAGGGUGAUAGCCCCGUAUCUGAAGCGGUAAGUGUUGUGAACUCGAAGAGUAAGGCGGGACACGCGUUAUCCUGUCUGAAUAUGGGGGGACCAUCCUCCAAGGCUAAAUACUCCUGACUGACCGAUAGUGAACCAGUACCGUGAGGGAAAGGCGAAAAGAACCCCGGCGAGAGCAGUGAAAUAGAACCUGAAACCGUGUACGUACAAGCAGUAGGAGCACCCGAAAAGGUGUGACUGCGUACCUUUUGUAUAAUGGGUCAGCGACUUAUAUUCUGUAGCAAGGUUAACCGCAUAGGGGAGCCGUGGGGAAACCGAGUCUUAACUGGGCGUUAAGUUGCAGGGUAUAGACCCGAAACCCGGUGAUCUAGCCAUGGGCAGGUUGAAG